Molecule: ribosomal RNA, 2314 nt
Filed under: Triticum aestivum (bread wheat)
Lineage: Eukaryota; Viridiplantae; Streptophyta; Magnoliopsida; Poales; Poaceae
Description: partial small subunit ribosomal RNA
Source: RNAcentral
UAGAUAAAGACACGGUGGUUGAGUGUUCGAUGGAGCCCUAGGAGAGUAAGAGGGGACGGGUUAGGGGAGCAAGGGGUGGAUGGUGUCGGUCUACGGGCUAGGUUUUUAGGUCGGUCUAGCUAGGUAGGCGCAGAGGAGAGGAGGAGGACACGGAGCUAGGUCCCACCUAGCUCUCGUCGCGGCGGGCCGGGGCUGGUGGCACGGCGGUCGAGCGGCAGUCGUCGAGGUUCGAGGAGGUCCGGCCGGGGAAGUGCGGGACGGAAGAGAAGAAAUAGGGGGACGAAGAGAGGGAGAGAUUAGAGAGAGAGAAAACGAGGGUCCCUUGGCUUGCUUCGAGGAGCACCUUGCGGGAGAAGCAGCGGCCUCUAGGAGCUCGAUUGGCCUCGGCACCCGCUCGAGGAGGUGGUAAAGGGGGACGGAAAAAGGGAGCGUAGCGAUAACUAAAGGGGGCAGAACAGCAGCAAAACAACGUGUCCUCUCGUCGGUACCGGCACCCGUUGCUCGAGGAAGCGAGCGCAGGCACUGCAGCAGUCGGGCACCCGGGGUGGAGGACGGCGCAGGCGGCAGACGGAGGAAGGGGCGCGGCUCUGGGCGACGGCAGCGGGAGACGAAGGGGACGUAGCUCGUACCGAGCUAGGUCAGUCCGCGCAACUGGCACGGGCGUCGCGCAGCGAAGGCACACCGGAGCCCUCGCGGUUCAGAGCGGCGUCGGGCGUUCCGGGUCGGCCGGACGGGGUCGCGGGAGAGGUGCCAAGACCCGAACAGGGUACCACUCUCUUGGGGUUCGGCGUGGGUGACGAGGACAGCCCGGUCGGUCUAAGCCGGGUAUAGUACAAAAAAAGGUCGCAGAUGCUUAAACAGGUAAUAGGUCUCGUAACGUCAAAAUGUCUUUUGGGGGGAUCAACAGUACGUAUAUUAUUGAGUGUUAAGCACGUAGCCUAAUUUUACUAAAUAUAUACUUUGAACGAGUCUUAAAACAGAUCAAAUUAUUAUACAGUGAAAGUGGGUACAAAUUUUACGAAUUUUACAACAAACCAAUUUAAACGAGGAUACGGUACAAUUUUACUAAAUUAAGUAUUGAUUUAUUGGCAUUGAGGCUAAAAUUAUUUGAAAUAUACAUUUACCCCAUCUUUUUACGGAUCAAAUUGUACCACUGGAAAUAAACGUACAAUUUGUUGGGAUUUUAACACAAAUCCCGUCUUGUCCAGGAUUAGAUUUUAUACGUAUACCCCUAAAUGGCCUUAAACAACAAACAACAAGGGCCGGAGUAAAUUUGAACUGAUCUAUCCAUCAAAACGAAACGAAGUGAGAGAACGGUACAAAUUGUUGUAAAUUAUAACAACCCAUGUAUUUCUUCUAGCUUGAUUUAUUAACUACACCACGAAGCAGUUAUACGUUGAGCAACGUAUAACUCGAGGUGAAUUGAACAUCCCAACAAACACGUGAAACAGUACGGUACGAAGUAAUUUGGCCUGUACGUAGUAUGAACUAACACGUAGUACGGUACAGAUACACCACCAACAAAUGGUACAACAAACGAAGAAAGGCCACAACGAAGAAGCCCAACCAAGGCUAUUGUAGUACUAACACUCCUGGGCAAGCCGAUGCAGGCAAACAGAAGAAGUACCUGAGCAAGAAGAAGGAACGCCCUAGAGUCAAACGUCCACGGCUACAAUGGCUCGUCCACUGCGUUGGUUCGAGUCCUCCUCGAGCUACGUCUAGAACAGGAAACACCACAAAGCAAGAUCAACUAGUCAUCACCUCGGGUCAACCCCAACUAGCCCCUGGACAACAGCGUAAACCCCAAGAAGAAAAUAAAACCGAGGCAUCAGCCCGGAACUAACAUAGACUAACUACAUUACGAAAUAAGUACAUUAACCCACUUCACCGCUAACAUUCAUUUGAUACAUAGAGAAAAGGGGAUAACAUAAUGUACCCAACACACUUCUAAUGGAGUGAACGCUGUAUACGAAAGUUACGCCAAUACGGAGAUUCAGCACGAAGCUGUGCACCCUCUAUAUCGGUGUAGCUCCCGCAAUGUUGGCUCAUGUGGUUAUGACCGCUGAAGUAGGGAUUCGACUUGCUCUUACCGCGGCUUCACGGUGGUCUCACCAAGCCAGACUUGGGCCGACUGUCGCUCCUGAGCCGUCUCCUCUAACGGAGGUCGCUGCUCUCCCUUCUGUUCCUCCUGCUCCUUCUACUUCUGCUGCGCGGCCUCCAGCCUCACCUGCCGGUCGGAGCUCAGCUAGCGCGGAGGUCGUGGCUUGGAGCACGUUCUUGCAGCUGACGACGACUUCCGCUGGUGGGGCUCACU